GGGCUUGUAGCUCAGUUGGUUUAGAGCGCAGGACCGAUAAUCCUGAGGUCGUAGGUUCAAACCCUACCGUGCCC
This 74-nucleotide transfer RNA is filed under the name Ourococcus multisporus. Its description in RNAcentral is "tRNA-Ile". It matches the Rfam family "tRNA". Rfam says of the family: Transfer RNA (tRNA) molecules are approximately 80 nucleotides in length. Lineage: Eukaryota; Viridiplantae; Chlorophyta; Chlorophyceae; Sphaeropleales; Selenastraceae. The record is from RNAcentral.